GGUUUUAUAUUCAUAAAUGAUUUUAAAUUGCAAAUUUAAAGGUGUAUUUUAAAUACUAAGACUU
This 64-nucleotide transfer RNA is filed under the name Phryganistria guangxiensis. RNAcentral describes it as "tRNA-Cys". Lineage: Eukaryota; Metazoa; Arthropoda; Insecta; Phasmatodea; Phasmatidae. The record is from RNAcentral.